This 301-nucleotide ribosomal RNA is filed under the name uncultured bacterium. RNAcentral's name for it is "partial 16S ribosomal RNA". It matches the Rfam family "Bacterial small subunit ribosomal RNA", at positions 509 to 807 of the family's 1533-position model. The record is from RNAcentral.
CAGUAGCCACGGUAAUACGGAGGGUGCAAGCGUUAUCCGGAUUUAUUGGGUUUAAAGGGUCCGUAGGCGGAUCUGUAAGUCAGUGGUGAAAUCUCACAGCUUAACUGUGAAACUGCCAUUGAUACUGCAGGUCUUGAGUAAAUUUGAAGUGGCUGGAAUAAGUAGUGUAGCGGUGAAAUGCAUAGAUAUUACUUAGAACACCAAUUGCGAAGGCAGGUCACUAAGAUUUAACUGACGCUGAUGGACGAAAGCGUGGGGAGCGAACAGGAUUAGAUACCCGUGUAGUCCCUGUCUCUUAUAC